AGCAUUUCAGCACUUAUAGAAUAUGUAUAAGCACCUUCAAGUCUUAUUAGGGACUUAUUAGAAGAGACAAAUAGUUCAUACUUUAAGAUGAAGAGAUGACAAGGUACAGCAGUCAAGUAGGAAAAUAGGCAGACCUUAUAGACUCAUGUCAUGAACUGGAGAAAUGAUAAUUUCUUUGAACAACAUUCUGGCAUAGCUAGAACAUUGGACUGGAUUUUGAACAUUUCAUUGUAUUUUGGAUAUUGAAAACCAGAGAAAGAUUCAAAGAGAAAUUAAUAGAAGGACAACAAAAAUGAUCAAGAGGUUACAUAGAGAAAAGCAACCAAAAAAGUCAUUCUCUAUAAUUUAAUCAAGUAAUCAUUUCAGAGGAGUAUUAUAGGCUUAAACAUGUGUCAAAGAUGGAAACACAAACAAUGCAAUGGCUUAGAGUCUUAAAGGACAAGAAGCAGAUGGUCAUGAGCAAAUGCAUUGACAUGAAAUUAAUGAAAAUAUCAUUUCAUUGUAAUCUGGCAUAGAAUGGGUUUUAUCAGGCAGUAGAAUAGUUCACAGAAAGUGAUGGAAGCCCCACAGAUUUUUGCAUUUGAAGCCAGAAAAGUAAUAUUAGUGGACAGCAAGGGAAAGGUCCAUGGAGCAGUCAGGUCUGGAUUAUUUUUUCAAGGACCUAUCAUUCCUUUUCUCAAAGAAGAAAAUGUAAAGAUUACACAUAUAUGAAGAGAAAGACCACUCUAUCUUUGGCCUGACUGAUAGAAAGUUCACACAAGAGAUUAUGGGGAUAACUUGGGAGUGAGGGAGGCUGAUCUGUAGCCCAGUGAGAUCAGCAAGCAUCCCUCUUCUGACUUUAAUGGAUUAGGAAAAACCUUGAGAAAGUUACCUCAGGAUUCCUAAAGCAGAUGUCAACUUUUGUGUUAUAUCUAAGCUUGUCACAGACAGAAGGAAUUUGCUACUGAUCCAUCAGCGGCUGAGUAGAACAAGUAUGACAGCAAUGAGACAGGUGAAUUCUUUUGUCUGUUUCUGCCAAAUCAUUUGUGUCCCAUGAGCCGUAGUUUCUGGGAUGGCAAAACAACGGGCAAAUUCAAGCUGAUGUGAAAUGAGAGUAACGAGAAGACAGAAGCUGUUGGUAUCAGGAGGGAGAUUAUUUCAGCCCUCUGCAUGAGGAGUUUGAACCCAAAUUGUUCUCACUCCCAAAACACAUGGCUGAGCCACCAGGCUAGAAUCCUCUGAUCCAGAUCACGCGGCCUGCCACCAAAACGCGAUGUGACCACCACGCCAGUUCAAGUGAAAGGCUUUUGUGUUAAGACUGCCAAGAAAAUUCCAAUUUCCUGAGGAAAACCCCAACUCCUGCUACUUCAAGCUGUAUAAAAGAAAUCAGUGCUGGUUCAUACGCAUACCCUUCAUCCUCUGGCCUUCAGUGAAUCCUGAGCUGCAGGCCGCUGGGCGGCAGCCUCGCAGAGACCAGCCCCACCACUCUGACCAGAGCAGGGCAUGGAGCACUGUGGGCCCAGCUGCCAGGCGGUGUCACACUCAAUUUCACAGAGAACGGCAGGGCUUCUUCACAGCUCACACUAGGCAGCAGCUCCGAGGUCCUGGACAUUUAUGUCCUGAGCAAGCCAGCUCAUUUAGCUUUUGUCACAGGUGUUUUAUUCUUUUUGGCAAGAUCUACUGGAGCAAAAUUCUGUUUGCACAUCAGCAGGCUUGUCAUGGCCUCCCUAUCACAUCCAUCAGAGGGUCUCUGUGGAUUCAGGCUGAACGUCUCGCAUUUCAGCUCUGGAACAGAAAGUCCUUUUCCCUUGUGUGUGUCCCCUUUGUGCAGGGGCAGCGGGCCGCUCUCCCACACCACAGGUCAACGGGAUAGGAGCCACCAGGCCCCACUGAACAAGGGAGGAGCUCAAGACCUUGCAGAACAACAGGGUGAGUCAAGCCAUGUCCUUCAUUAUGUCUGGAUUUGUAAUCAAGGCUGACUCCAGACAGCAAAAUUAAUCCAUGCUCCCUGAAUCUCAGCUGGAAGAAAAUGGAUUUGGUUUACUGACUCUGCCAAAGCUGAAGCAAUUUACCCCGGCUGAGGAUCUGAUUCUUAUCCCUGCCUCAGGUUACUAUGUGUGUUUCAGCACACAGCACAAAAGCAUGAUCUUCGAACUGACCAGAGGUCGAACAUGGCUUCCAGGCUGGAAGGCCACAGCAGAACUGAAUCCAGGCAGCACAAUUGGUGUGAGAAACACAGUGCUGGGUAAAAUGAAAAUCCUGGAGUAACACCUUGUGUGAUAAAUAACCCCAUCUCCCACCCCAGCACCAGCAGCUGAGGUGCCUUUCCCACAGGCACAGCCAGUAGCCCCUUGAUGCAGGCAGGCCGGCACUGAUCCUGGCCCUGGCGGGGUGAUGAUAAGCAGUACUGCAGGACACACUGCAGGGAAUGCGAGAGGCUGUAAAUGAAGGCCUUCCUAAUUAGAAGGUGGUCAGAAGCACACACAGAUUCCUGGUCCAGGGUAAGCUGUUUAAGUUUAAGGUGACAUUAAAAGAUAAACACAGGAAAUAACAGGGGAUGAAACAGCAGGUGUGUGCAGGGCACUGCCAGGAGCACAAAGGCAUGAGUAAGGGCCAAGGAAAACGUAAGAGUCUGAGAAAGGCAGGGAAAGGCAAUUCUGAAUCAUAAGCACAGAAGACCAGUAAGCAAUACACGAUUUCAGAAUAUUUGUGAUUUGUUAGCAUGCUGUAAGUCUGCAUAGCUGGGAUUCCAUAGAGUGGUGCAGUAGUUGGGACAGAAAAGGUACAGCCUGUAAUAUCUCAGUGGGUCAUGCCCCUGUGACAAAGGACAAAGGAGUGGAAUUACAGAUCCUGCAACUCCUAGCUAGAGGUGCAGUUCUAAACCAAACUAAAUGCCUUGGGGGGUUAAAAUUAAACCACCGUAAACCCACAAUUUCAGCUGCAAGGGCAAAUAUGUUUUCUGAAUACCUGAAGUUCUGCUGCGGGAAGAAUACGACUGUACUGGGAGUGAAGGACUCUCAACAGACUUGCCUUGACAGCCUUACUUGAGUAUCCUGUGGUAAAGUGAUGGCUAUGAUGCUGCACCCUCUCCACACUGUGGCAGAAUGCAGCCCUUAUAAGAACAUACAAAGAGAAAAAGAGAAAAGCAAAUGUCUCAUGGGAGAUGGGGGGAUAUCCUGUAACAUAAAACUGCAUUGGAUAAAGUAUUCAAAAGAGUUUGAUAGGAAAAGACCAAAUAGGACCUAAUAAUAUUCUCUUAAUGAGGCAAUUUAACUGCCUGUAAUUCUGUCCUAUG
Molecule: long non-coding RNA, 3274 nt
Filed under: Gallus gallus (chicken)
Lineage: Eukaryota; Metazoa; Chordata; Aves; Galliformes; Phasianidae
Description: lncRNA (ENSGALG00010006709.1)
Source: RNAcentral